This 253-nucleotide ribosomal RNA is filed under the name uncultured bacterium. RNAcentral's name for it is "partial 16S ribosomal RNA". It matches the Rfam family "Bacterial small subunit ribosomal RNA", at positions 524 to 776 of the family's 1533-position model. The record is from RNAcentral.
UACGGAGGGGGCGAGCGUUGUCCGAAUUUACUGGGCGUAAAGCGCGCGUAGGCGGGUGGCUAAGUCCGCUGUGAAAGCCCGGGGCUCAACCCCGGAGGGUCGGUGGAUACUGGUCGUCUUGAAGCAGCUAGGGGGAAAUGGAAUGACCGGUGUAGCGGUGAAAUGCGUAGAUAUCGGUCGGAACACCCGUGGCGAAGGCGGUUUCCUGGGGCUGUCUUGACGCUGAGGCGCGAAAGCUGGGGGAGCGAACGGG